CCAAAAAAUUCUCGAGAAAUUCUUUUCUAAUCUUCAUUUUGACCUCGGAAUUAGGAAAUCUUGAAACCCUUUUAAUUUCGUCUCAAGACGAUUGGGUUUCUGGUUGUUUCCCCUCUGGUUCUGAAUGCUUUUGAUGCUGCGGUUUUUGCGGCGACUUCGGAGGGUUCCCGUGGCGAACGCGGCGGCUUUGCGCCGAGAGGGCCACAAGCGACAUGUUGAUCAGUCCAGAUUGGGCAAUCGACAUUGAAUUGUGCGGCAUUAUCAAUAUGGAGGCUUGGUACUGGUUCUUCUCCUCUUCUUGCCCUUUUCUUAUGUUUGUGAUUCUGUUCGGCCAUCGUCUAUGUGUUUUAUGUAAUUUAUUUGACGAAAGCUCUUCGUCACCUUCACUGGAUUAUCUCAUAGAUGAUGCUAGCCAGGUACUACCUUGUUCCGAUGGAGCUGUCUGCCUAUGUAAUUGAUUAUGAUAGGUAAGCAUUGCAUCUUAGUGAAACUAUAAACAACUGAUCUUUUAGAAAAUCGAUACUUGAUUUCGUACCAAAUUGUUUCUGUAUUAUUCUGAUUUUUGGCCCAGAACUCAUGUAAUGAAUAUGAAUGGAUAACUCAGCAAUAUGUUGAAGAAAUAACAUGCAUCCUUUUUCUUGGUUAUGCUACCUCAAUACAUCAUCAUUUAAUCUUUGAUUUCUCUUCCUGUGUAGUUUGUUAUUGAAGGAUUAGGUGAAUUCUCUUGUAUUGCUAGGAGUCUUUUUCUUUCUUUUUUUUUUUUUUUGUGGUGAACUGGUGACAUUUUAAAAAUAUAGAUGUGUGCUUUCCUUGCUAGGCUUGCUUCCAAAUCUUUUGACAUUGCGAGAUAAGGCCAUCCUAGUAUAGAAUCUGCUAUUUUCUACUUGCUAUAAUCUGUGAUUCUAUUACUAUAGAAUGCCUUAGGCUGCAAUAAAGACCGUGAGAAGCCUUUUGACAUGGUAGUUCCAUAUUCUGUUACUAGUUGUAACACUUCUCCAGUUGAUACGGCCAUUUCUGUUGUUCUGUAGCAAUCUUUUCGAAGUAUUUAAAAAAACUGGAUUCUGUCAGCUUAUAUCUUUAUCAUGUCACAAAAAACGACAAGUAUGUCUUCUAUUUACUUCUCAUCCAUUUGUUGUCAAGAAUGUCGGUUUUCACUAUUUAAUGCUGCAGGAAACAUAACUGGGUUUUUUUCUCUAAUGGAGGUUAUUAAGAUGCUGCAGCAAUUAUCUUGAAUCAGUUCCACGAGGCACCAUUGUUGUCAUGACUUCAUUUAGAGUAUAGUAUAUUAAAUGUCAAUAGGGGAGGUUCAUGUGCCUGCACACUAGUUUUUAGGUUGGACUACAACCUGACAUCAAGGUGAGUGCUUCAACAAGACUGCUGUCCAUGCAUUCCACUAUGCGUCUAGCUUAUAAACACCCAUAUCUGAUUCUUUAUGUAGUAUUCCACGGUUAUUUUUUUUUUCAAACUGAACUUUGAAGUUGGUCCUCUGCAUUGGACAGGUGGUGCCAUUAUUGCUAAAUCAACCUUCUAGAGAAAUUUUAUUUCGGUACUUUGAUUUAAUUGCAGUUGUGUUUCAUGCUGCUUGUUCUUGUAGCUUGUCAUUGAAUCAUACUAGUUUAAGACCACUUUCAAUCUAUUGUUGGAUCUCUUAACUUUUAUUUAUUUUUAUCUUUUUAGUGAAGUACAGGCAGGCAACGGAUACCCUUAUGAUACUUAAGAAGUGCCUAGGAAGCAAGAACUCCAAAAUACAACUUCUGGCACUUUUUUUGAGCACAUGAAACUUUUUUUUCCUGCAAUUAAGAAUUUUUUAUUUUGCAAUUUGAUUCUGUAAGAUAUUUAUAUUUUUAUAAUUUCUUGUCAUAGUUUUCUAUUACAUUUCUUUGAGUUUUGUUUCCAGGGAUACUAUUGCUGGGAAACACAAUUUUCUAAUAGACUGCAUCCAGCUAUUUUUAUUUUCCUUAUGCAAGAGCCGUACAUCCAUAUAUGACUUAUGCAUUGCAUCCUUUUUUAUUGAAAAAUGGAAGUUGGGAUUAGCAAAUAGUGUUAUGAAGAUUCUUUGUCAGCAAAGAAUUUUAGCCAUUGUUAUAAAUUUAUGUCUUAUGACUUGAUCCAAUCAGGAAGAAGAAAGAUUUUCUUCAACCCGCUCAAUUCGAAUCUCUCAAAAGAAAACUAGAAGAAGAUAGAGGAAUCUCGAAAAAUUGUUAAUUCAGGUGUUAGAAACUCCAAACAAAAAUUGUAGGGACUAUGUUCGCCAACAAAUUGUUGAGCAGGAUAUCUUGAAUGAAAUGGUGAAAGUGGUGAAGAAAAAACCAAACUUGAAUGUGAGGGAGAAGAUAUUGAUUCCAAUGGAUACAUGGCAAGAUGCUUUUGGAGGAGCAGGAGGAAGAUAUCCCCAAUAUCAUGCUGUAUACCAAGAACUAAGAGUAUUCUUUUAAACUGUCCUCCUUGAACCUCUCUCUCACUCACGCACACACACACAAACACAGAGAGAGAGAGAGAGAGAGAGAGAGAGAGAGAGAGAGACAUACACACACACAUUCUCCUGGUUCAUGUUUCAUGCCCAGACCUACUAAGCUUCUGGUUUAUCCAAUGAUUAACCAAUGAACCAUAAGAGUUUUGGCCCUGAAUUUACCUUAUAACGACUUCAUUUUUGAAAUAAAGCCAUUCUUAUAAAUUAUGAUCAACAUGUGAUAUGUGCAUGUAGUUUUUGUCCUGA
Phoenix dactylifera (date palm) is the source of this 2716-nucleotide non-coding RNA. The record is from RefSeq and is a predicted model, not a curated record. Lineage: Eukaryota; Viridiplantae; Streptophyta; Magnoliopsida; Arecales; Arecaceae.